CCUACGGGAGGCAGCAGUGGGGAAUUUUUCGCAAUGGGGGCAACCCUGACGAAGCAAUGCCGCGUGGAUGAAGAAGGCCUUCGGGUUGUAAAGUCCUUUCGUGGGGGACGAAAAGGCGGAUCCGAAUACGGUCUGCUAUUGACGUGAACCCAAGAAGAAGCACCGGCUAACUCCGUGCCAGCAGCCGCGGUAAUACGGAGGGUGCGAGCGUUAAUCGGAAUUACUGGGCGUAAAGGGCGCGUAGGCGGUGGGUUACGUCUGCCGUGAAAUCCCCGGGCUCAACCUGGGAAUGGCGGUGGAAACGGGCUGACUGGAGUAUGGGAGAGGGUGAUGGAAUUCCAGGUGUAGCGGUGAAAUGCGUAGAGAUCUGGAGGAACACCAGUGGCGAAGGCGGUCACCUGGCCCAAUACUGACGCUGAGGCGCGAAAGCGUGGGGAGCAAACAGGAUUAGAUACCCUGGUAGUCCACGCCCUAAACGAUGGAUACUGGAUGUUUGGCGCCUUAAGUGCUGAGUGUCGUAACUAACGCGAUAAGUAUCCGCCUGGGGAAGUACGGCCGCAAGGUUAAAACUCAAAGGAAUUGACGG
This 586-nucleotide ribosomal RNA is filed under the name uncultured bacterium. Its description in RNAcentral is "bacterial SSU rRNA". It matches the Rfam family "Bacterial small subunit ribosomal RNA", at positions 338 to 916 of the family's 1533-position model. The record is from RNAcentral.